This 845-nucleotide ribosomal RNA is filed under the name Microascus sparsimycelialis. RNAcentral's name for it is "partial large subunit ribosomal RNA". It matches the Rfam family "Eukaryotic large subunit ribosomal RNA", at positions 72 to 946 of the family's 3401-position model. The record is from RNAcentral. Lineage: Eukaryota; Fungi; Ascomycota; Sordariomycetes; Microascales; Microascaceae.
GGAUUGCCCCAGUAACGGCGAGUGAAGCGGCAACAGCUCAAAUUUGAAAUCUGGCCCCCCAGCGGGGUCCGAGUUGUAAUUUGAAGAGGAUGCUUCUGGCAAGGUGCCUUCCGAGUUCCCUGGAACGGGACGCCGCAGAGGGUGAGAGCCCCGUACGGUAGGACGCCGAGCCUCUGUGAAGCUCCUUCGACGAGUCGAGUAGUUUGGGAAUGCUGCUCAAAAUGGGAGGUAAACCCCUUCUAAAGCUAAAUACCGGCCAGAGACCGAUAGCGCACAAGUAGAGUGAUCGAAAGAUGAAAAGCACUUUGAAAAGAGAGUUAAAAAGCACGUGAAAUUGUUGAAAGGGAAGCGCUUGCGACCAGACUCGCGCCCGUCGGAUCAGCCGUCGCUCGCGGCGGUGCACUCCGGCGGGCUCGGGCCAGCAUCAGUUCGUUGGGGGGGAGAAAGGCGGCGGGAAUGUGGCUCUACGGAGUGUUAUAGCCCGCCGUGUAAUACCCCCUGGCGGACUGAGGACCGCGCGUAUGCAAGGAUGCUGGCGUAAUGGUCGUCAGCGACCCGUCUUGAAACACGGACCAAGGAGUCGUCCUAAUAUGCGAGUGUACGGGUGUCAAACCCCUGCGCGUAAUGAAAGUGAACGGAGGUGAGAGCUUCGGCGCAUCAUCGACCGAUCCUGAUGUUCUCGGAUGGAUUUGAGUAAGAGCAUAUUGGGCCGGACCCGAAAGAAGGUGAACUAUGCCUGUGUAGGGUAAAGCCAGAGGAACUCUGGUGGAGGCUCGCAGCGGUUCUGACGUGCAAAUCGAUCGUCAAACAUGGGCAUGGGGGCGAAAGACUAAUCGAACCUUCUA